GAUGAAGAACGUAGCGAAAUGCGAUACGUAAUGUGAAUUGCAGAAUUCAGGGAAUCAUCGAGUCUUUGAACGCACAUUGCGCCCCCUGGUAUUCCGGGGGGCAUGCCUGUCCGAGCGUCAUUGCUGCCCUCAAGCACGGCUUGUGUGUUGGGCCUCCGUCCUCCUCCCGGGGGACGGGCCCGAAAGGCAGCGGCGGCACCGCGUCCGGUCCUCGAGCGUAUGGGGCUUCGUCACCCGCUCUUGUAGGCCCGGCCGGCGCUUGCCGACACAUCAAUCUUUUUUCCAGGUUGACCUCGGAUCAGGUAGGGAUACCCGCUGAACUUAAGCAUAUCAAUAAGCGGAGGA
This 345-nucleotide unclassified non-coding RNA is filed under the name soil metagenome. RNAcentral's name for it is "partial contains 5.8S ribosomal RNA, internal transcribed spacer 2, and large subunit ribosomal RNA". The stretch from base 1 to 120 matches the Rfam family "5.8S ribosomal RNA", at positions 35 to 154 of the family's 154-position model. The record is from RNAcentral.